CCUACGGGAGGCAGCAGUGGGGAAUUUUGGACAAUGGGCGCAAGCCUGAUCCAGCCAUGCCGCGUGCAGGAUGAAGGCCUUCGGGUUGUAAACUGCUUUUGUACGGAACGAAAAGACUCUGGUUAAUACCUGGGGUCCAUGACGGUACCGUAAGAAUAAGCACCGGCUAACUACGUGCCAGCAGCCGCGGUAAUACGUAGGGUGCGAGCGUUAAUCGGAAUUACUGGGCGUAAAGCGUGCGCAGGCGGUUAUAUAAGACAGAUGUGAAAUCCCCGGGCUCAACCUGGGAACUGCAUUUGUGACUGUAUAGCUAGAGUACGGCAGAGGGGGAUGGAAUUCCGCGUGUAGCAGUGAAAUGCGUAGAUAUGCGGAGGAACACCGAUGGCGAAGGCAAUCCCCUGGGCCUGUACUGACGCUCAUGCACGAAAGCGUGGGGAGCAAACAGGAUUAGAUACCCUGGUAGUCCACGCCCUAAACGAUGUCAACUGGUUGUUGGGUCUUCACUGACUCAGUAACGAAGCUAACGCGUGAAGUUGACCGCCUGGGGAAGUCGGCCGCAAGGUUGAAACGUUAAAGGAAUUGACGGCGNGAGAGNGCGAGACGACGACGAGGGAGGAGG
This 619-nucleotide ribosomal RNA is filed under the name uncultured bacterium. RNAcentral's name for it is "bacterial SSU rRNA". It matches the Rfam family "Bacterial small subunit ribosomal RNA", at positions 338 to 948 of the family's 1533-position model. The record is from RNAcentral.